RNAcentral lists this ribosomal RNA (656 nucleotides) under uncultured bacterium. Its description in RNAcentral is "bacterial SSU rRNA". It matches the Rfam family "Bacterial small subunit ribosomal RNA", at positions 83 to 715 of the family's 1533-position model. The record is from RNAcentral.
UGCUUGAGUACAGUGGCGCACGGGUGCGUAACACGUGGGUAAUCUGCCCUGAAGCCCGGAAUAACUCCCCGAAAGGGGUGCUAAUGCCGGAUGAGACCACGGGAACUUCGGUUCCUGGGGGAAAAGGUGGCCUCUGUAUACAAGCUAUCACUUCAGGAUGAGCCCGCGGCCCAUCAGCUAGUUGGCGGGGUAAUGGCCCACCAAGGCUACGACGGGUAGCUGGUCUGAGAGGACGAUCAGCCACACUGGAACUGAGACACGGUCCAGACUCCUACGGGAGGCAGCAGUGGGGAAUCUUGCGCAAUGGGCGAAAGCCUGACGCAGCAACGCCGCGUGUGUGAUGAAGGUCUUCGGAUCGUAAAGCACUGUCGGGAGGGACGAAUAAGGGCCGGGUGAACAAUCCGGUCUGACGACUGUACCUCCAAAGGAAGCACCGGCUAACUCUGUGCCAGCAGCCGCGGUAAUACAGAGGGUGCUAGCGUUGUUCGGAAUUAUUGGGCGUAAAGCGCGUGUAGGCGGCCAACCAAGUCGGAUGUGAAAGCCCUCGGCUUAACCGAGGAAGUGCGUUCGAUACUAGCUGGCUUGAGUACCGGAGAGGGUGGUGGAAUUCCCGGUGUAGAGGUGAAAUUCGUAGAUAUCGGAAGGAACACCAGUGG